RNAcentral lists this ribosomal RNA (497 nucleotides) under uncultured bacterium. Its description in RNAcentral is "partial 16S ribosomal RNA". It matches the Rfam family "Bacterial small subunit ribosomal RNA", at positions 28 to 507 of the family's 1533-position model. The record is from RNAcentral.
GAUGAACGCUGGCGGCGUGCCUAAUACAUGCAAGUCGAGCGAACAGACGAGGAGCUUGCUCCUCUGACGUUAGCGGCGGACGGGUGAGUAACACGUGGAUAACCUACCUAUAAGACUGGGAUAACUUCGGGAAACCGGAGCUAAUACCGGAUAAUAUAUUGAACCGCAUGGUUCCAUAGUGAAAGACGGUUUUGCUGUCACUUAUAGAUGGAUCCGCGCCGCAUUAGCUAGUUGGUAAGGUAACGGCUUACCAAGGCAACGAUGCGUAGCCGACCUGAGAGGGUGAUCGGCCACACUGGAACUGAGACACGGUCCAGACUCCUACGGGAGGCAGCGGUAGGGAAUUUUCCGCAAUGGGCGAAAGCUGGACGGAGCAACGCCGCGUGAGUGAUGAAGGUCUUCGGAUCGUAAAACUCUGUUAUUAGGGAAGAACAAAUGUGUAAGUAACUAUGCACGUCUUGACGGUACCUAAUCAGAAAGCCACGGCUAACUACGUG